CGAGGCGAACCGGGGAAACUGAAACAUCUCAGUACCCCGAGAAAAAGAAAUCAACCGAGAUUCCCCCAGUAGCGGCGAGCAAACGGGGAGCAGCCCAGAGUCAACAUCAAUAUUUACCACAGGAGAAGGGUCUGGAAAAGCCGGCAAUAAAGGGUGAUAGCCCCGUAUCUAAAGCGGUAAGUGUUGUGAACUCGAAGAGUAGGGCGGGACACGUGUUAUCCUGUCUGAAUAUGGGGGGACCAUCCUCCAAGGCUAAAUACUCCUGACUGACCGAUAGUGAACCAGUACCGUGAGGGAAAGGCGAAAAGAACCCCGGCGAGGGGAGUGAAAUAGAACCUAAAACCGUGUACGUACAAGCAGUAGGAGCACCCGAAAGGGUGUGACUGCGUACCUUUUGUAUAAUGAGUCAGCGACUUAUAUUCUGUAGCAAGGUUAACCGCAUAGGGGAGCCGUAGGGAAACCGAGUCUUAACUGGGCGUUAAGUUGCAGGGUAUAGACCCGAAACCCGGUGAUCUAGCCACAAGCAGGUUGAAG
This 534-nucleotide ribosomal RNA is filed under the name Arsenophonus endosymbiont of Bemisia tabaci. RNAcentral describes it as "partial 23S ribosomal RNA". It matches the Rfam family "Bacterial large subunit ribosomal RNA", at positions 175 to 750 of the family's 2925-position model. The record is from RNAcentral. Lineage: Bacteria; Pseudomonadati; Pseudomonadota; Gammaproteobacteria; Enterobacterales; Morganellaceae.